This 108-nucleotide ribosomal RNA is filed under the name Escherichia coli. RNAcentral's name for it is "partial 16S ribosomal RNA". It matches the Rfam family "Bacterial small subunit ribosomal RNA", at positions 1 to 101 of the family's 1533-position model. The record is from RNAcentral. RNAcentral also lists the same sequence under 14 other names. Lineage: Bacteria; Pseudomonadati; Pseudomonadota; Gammaproteobacteria; Enterobacterales; Enterobacteriaceae.
AAAUUGAAGAGUUUGAUCAUGGCUCAGAUUGAACGCUGGCGGCAGGCCUAACACAUGCAAGUCGAACGGUAACAGGAAGCAGCUUGCUGCUUUGCUGACGAGUGGCGG